CAAACAGAACCAAUCUGACAUUACAUUACAAUACAAAGCAAAUGGAUAACACUUUAAAAGUCCUAACUGUUAUCUGUUUUAUUCACUUUGCGGAGAUUUUCAAUAAAACAUCAGUUACUCAAAAAGCAUUCCAACAAAGGUUUUCGAACAUAAGAAAGUCAAACAAUUCAUCAAGUUUUGGAAAAAAAAAAAACAAUUCAUCAAGUUGAUACAUUAAAAGUGCAUCAGCAUAUUAUAUCACUUAACAAGGAUUUGGACAAGUUCUGUUCCCUCCAGCACAUGGACCUUGUUAUGUAACCCUGGAGAGGAACCUUGUCUAUAAGAUGGAACAUGUUGUUCCAUCAAGGUGGCUCUACCAUCUAAAAAUCCAAAGCCGCAAAAUGUGACAAUCCCAGUACACGUGAAUACCAAAUGAUAUCAAUUAAGAAACCUUACCAGUCUUUGAUGUAAAUGAUCUUCGGUAUGUGUUGACAUACUUCCGAACAUCAUCAACCUUUGAGAGAUUGAAGAGUUUACGGAUCUUAGAAGCCCUCUUGGGACCUCUCAUCCUAGGUUUCUCAGUGUCAGUCAAUCCAGGAAGGUCACUUUCACCCUUCUUCACAAUCACCAAGUUCAAAACAGAAAGGUCAGGGCUGACAAUGCAACCACGGACAGACUUUCUCCUCCUCUCACCAUUCCUCCUUCCAUAACCACGGAAGCAAGGG
This 704-nucleotide long non-coding RNA is filed under the name Prunus persica (peach). RNAcentral's name for it is "long non-coding RNA (PPER_LNC001565)". Lineage: Eukaryota; Viridiplantae; Streptophyta; Magnoliopsida; Rosales; Rosaceae. The record is from RNAcentral.